GUUGAUUGCUUAAUAUAUGUUAGCAGGAUGUCAUCACCUUUGGAGAUAAAGGGUCCAAGAAAUACAACCUCACUUUCUCAAUCAGAGAACUUUGAGGAUUAUGAAGUUUCCUUUAAAUUAUGUCCGUUACUCAACCUCGAGUGGCACCUUACAGCUAGUGGGAAGUCAAGAAAGUAUAUCCUGCUCGGAAUGAAGUCAAGCGAAAUAGAUUUCCUUCAUUGACACUCUCAUCAGUCAUCAAUCAGCGAAACAGAGAAAUCAACAGUUUCAAAAUUCUCUGGAACCCAUUUCGAGCUUCACGCCUUCAAUUCUCAUGACACCCAAGACACAGAAGACAUCAACAGAGUAGAAGAAUUCAACCCAACACCCAUUUCAACCCAAGUUUUCGAUUCCUACUUCACCUGAUGAGAAGAAGUUUACGGGUGAGAAAGUUACAAAGGGAUAAAGUGUGUCCGAGUCAAUUUGAUGUUACAGACUUGCAGCUAACUGUUGUGUGUUAUAUAAUUGCAUAUUUUUUAGACACCAGAUAUGGCCAAGUUCCA
Solanum stenotomum is the source of this 542-nucleotide long non-coding RNA. RefSeq lists it as uncharacterized. The record is from RefSeq and is a predicted model, not a curated record. NCBI's taxonomy places the organism in Eukaryota, Viridiplantae, Streptophyta, Magnoliopsida, Solanales, Solanaceae. The transcript is spliced from 4 exons.